Molecule: ribosomal RNA, 497 nt
Filed under: uncultured bacterium
Lineage: Bacteria
Description: partial 16S ribosomal RNA
Rfam family: Bacterial small subunit ribosomal RNA
Source: RNAcentral
GAUGAACGCUGGCGGCGUGCCUAAUACAUGCAAGUCGAGCGAACAGAUGAGGAGCUUGCUCCUCUGACGUUAGCGGCGGACGGGUGAGUAACACGUGGAUAACCUACCUAUAAGACUGGGAUAACUUCGGGAAACCGGAGCUAAUACCGGAUAAUAUAUUGAACCGCAUGGUUCAAUAGUGAAAGACGGUUUUGCUGUCACUUAUAGAUGGAUCCGCGCCGCAUUAGCUAGUUGGUAAGGUAACGGCUUACCAAGGCAACGAUGCGUAGCCGACCUGAGAGGGUGGUCGGCCCCACUGGAACUGAGACACGGUCCAGACUCCUACGGGAGGCAGCAGUAGGGAAUCUUCCGCAAUGGGCGAAAGCCUGACGGAGCAACGCCGCGUGAGUGAUGAAGGUCUUCGGAUCGUAAAACUCUGUUAUUAGGGAAGAACAAAUGUGUAAGUAACUAUGCACGUCUUGACGGUACCUAAUCAGAAAGCCACGGCUAACUACGUG